This is a long non-coding RNA of Empidonax traillii (willow flycatcher), 1639 nucleotides long. RefSeq lists it as uncharacterized. NCBI's taxonomy places the organism in Eukaryota, Metazoa, Chordata, Aves, Passeriformes, Tyrannidae. The transcript has 3 exons. The record is from RefSeq and is a predicted model, not a curated record.
AAAGAAAAUCCCCAGGAGACACCGUCCAGCAGACGGGCGUGGCCAGGGCGUACGUGUCCCGGUGUUCAUUUCCAGGCAGCGUCUCGGGAUUCGCGACGUGAAUCACGCUCCUGUUUGACAUGUAAACAGCAGUAAAAGCCGGUGUCUUUCUAAACACCGAGAGAUUAAAUGUCGCCGAACCUGAUGGGCCAGUGCACGCCCCCCAGGAGGAGAGGUUCGGCUUUUGGAAGAUCUUUGCCGCUGGGAGCAGCUUCCCUGGGAAACCCCCCUGGCGAGCCUCGGUGUGACCCGGUGUCGGCGGGCAGGGAUUUGCCUGUCUUGGGCCUCUGCGAUGCCCCAGCAAGCCUCGAUUCCGGGACGUGUUGUAAUUUUAGUUUGUUAAUGAGCUUGCCUGUGUGCCCAGCACACACUGUGUGUGUGCCUUGGGGAUUGGCAGUGCAGGCUGGUAAUCCUGCUAACCUGGCUCUGGCAGGUGGUGACAACUCCUUUAAUUGUUCUAGGAUUGAGAGCUGGCUUCUUGCUAUGCACAGGGACUGGCUGUGAAUGAGUAAAAUGAGGGAGAAAAUUAUUGGUGCUAAUAAUUCUUUUCCAGUCUGCCUUGAUGGUGGCUGUGAGCAGGCUCCCCUCUGCAAGCUCAGGCACCGCACUGGACCUGUCAGCUGUGGGACCCAAGGUUCAGGUUUGCUGGGACAUAAAACUGCGAUAAAAACGUUUAUAUUCCAGUAAGCGACACCUCUCUGAUAGUUAUUUAAAGUCUCUGUCUGCAUUGUUCUAGAACUAUUUCCUUUUUCCUCUAAGCAACCUCGAGUAGGAAGCUGACGGUCCCUCAGGUAACCCGCUUUCACCUCGCUGGAAGCCUUGCCUGAUGUUGGGUUGAAGGCCAGCAGAACCCGCAGAGGAUACUCCAGAGUGCAGCAGACAGCAGAGAUGUGCAUUGCUGGAAUCCAGAGGGUUUCGUAAUUUGGCAGCCACUUGCUGAAAGCCCUGCAGAUACAAAACAACACUUAUUUCAAGUCUUGAGAAACAUCUACCAAGUAGAAGAAAAAAGCAUUUAGAGCGUGUUUCACCUCUAUGUGCUGACGAGAUCAGAAGUGCAGUGUACCAGCAUGGCUGCGACUGUGUUGAAAAAUGCACACCGAUGCUUUUAGAAAUACAGGUGCAGAUUUCAUGCAAUUGUCUCCUUAAGCUGCUGAGUGGUACCAUGGGACACAGAGCCCAGCUUCAGAGACAGGAGGAGGAAGGUGGUUUGGGUUUACUGGGUGGGGUAAGGCGGGGAACAGAAAGCCUGGUGUGACUCCCUGAGGGAAUCCCAAAGAAUCCCAAAUGCCUUCAGAGCCAGAAGCUUGAUAGCUUGUGUUUAACCCAGUCCUUGUUUUUGAAAGGGAGUUGACAGACGAGUGCUUUCUUUUAGCUGAGCUUUCAGAAUAUGCUUAUUUUAAGUUUGUUGUUUGAUGCAGUGGGAUCCUCAAGCUGUGUGCAAAACGCACGAAGGAGAUGACCUUAUUCAGUGUGAUGAUUUUUCUUUCACUGCUACAUAUGUAAAAGUGCUUGGAAAUCUAUUAUCCAGGCGACAUAAAACUAGCUUUUUGACAGGCUGCUCAUCCUGCUAACACCUGGCAAGUGCAGAGGCCUGACUACU